CCUUCUUUCUCUGGGGCUUCCAGCUGGGAUGCCUUUCUUACUGAACUUUGAGGAAGCCACAGGGUCUGGGCAUAUCUUAGAGAAAUGAGGAGGGACACCCUGGUUCAUAUGAGCCAAGUGGAACCCCGAGCCCUGAACUCUCAGAGAAGCCUGGUCAGCCAAGAUGUCCCCACCCCUGAACCACCGAAAGAGUCACUGUUGGACCACGGACUUGACACUUGCCUUGGUGGCCAGAUGACUGCUACCUGAAGAUCAGGGAGCAUUCUCCCUUAUUUGUGAUGCCACUCUAUGUUCCCUUCGACAUAAAGGAAGACACUCAUUAUUGAUAUUAUAUAGACAGCUCAAAUCCUGCCUCUGUGGCUUUGGGGUCUCACUACAUGGCUCUGGCUGUCCUGGAAUUCACUAUGUAGACCAGACUGACCUCGAAACUCACAGAGAUUCAUCUCCCUCUGUUUCAGGAGUGCUGGAAUUAAAGGAGUUUGCCAGCAGGCCCAGCUGUAGAGGUAUUUCAGAAUACAUGGCAGGCUUUUACUCUCAAGCCUUUCCUCCCGAGCUCAACUCUUAGUUUCAAGAGCUCAGCAGCAGGUUGUGACCGAUCGCUGGUCUGUCCAUUCCUGGCUUUCACACCAACCUAUCAACUAGAAUGUGCUGAAGAUCUCCUAUGUCCCAGGAGUCGCACCCUAACUGGUGGUAUUUCAGACAUGCUGUCACAAUGACGGCUGCUUGGACUGGUCUCCUGCCACGCGCUGCACUGGCAGGACUUCUCAGCACAUGUGGGUGGUGUUGGAGGUGUUGGCAACAGCCUUGGAAUAUAGCCGCAGCAAAGAAGCCCUUAACUGAGAGCCAUCGACAAAGUGCCAGAACCGUGAGCUCUUCCCACCUCGGAACAGACCAUGUACUGUUGCUGACUUAACUGUGCUUGAAGGUCAGCCAAUUGUCAGGCCAGUGUGGAAGCAGGGCCCAUUUUUCUGCAUGUCUGUGGUGAGGUUAGGGGAAAAAGAUCACACUGUAACAAGUAAAUCCCAUUCCAAGCACGGGUGUGUGUACGUGUUUGCCUUCUGACCACAGAGCCUUGCGGUGGGACUUCACACUCACGAGAUGUGUGAAUCUUGAGACCUCUUUGCUGACAAAUAUUCAUCAAGAGCUCACCUUGUGCCUGCAUUUCCAUCAGGGUGUAUACAGAAAGCAGAUGCUACUAGAGGAUUUGUGGAGAAGGGUUUGUAUUUGGUGAGGCUGUUGAGAAAGGUGUGGGGUCGGAGCCACACAGGAUGGAGCAAUAACUUGUGGCUCCGAGGCAGCCAUUAUGUUAUCAGUUCCAGCCCUGACACAAUCACAGAGGUCUGCUCUCAUUGCAUACUUGUGAGAGGCCCAGGGAGCAGUGACCUUCAGCUAAGGGACUUCUCUGCCUGGGUGUGUUCUUGUUGGGGAGAAAUCAGAAGAAACAUCACCUUCUUUAGCUGACUUUUUUUUUUCUUCUUUCAGUUCUCAAGGUCCCCCACGGAUCAAACUCAACAGAAGCCUGGGAACAGUGGGACAUGCAAUGCAAUUCUUUUAUGGGUCCACUACAUGGGGCAGGAGGCAAGAUAGGAAAGGAGCUGGAGUAGGUGGGUGGGUGUACCUGGGGCAGUGAAUUCAAGAUGUGAAGAUCAAUGCUACACUGCACACUGGGCAGCGACUCAGAUUUUGUGGGGGCUAAAGCACAUACAAUUUUCUUUUAGGAUCCACUUUAAGAAAACAACACAGGCCCGGUGUGGUGGCAUACACUUUUAACUCAGCACUUGGGAGACAGAGGCAGGUGGACCUCUGUGAGUUCCAGGACAGUCUAGACUACUUAGUAAGUUCCAGGACAGCUAGCAUUACAUAGUUCCUGUCUGUGUGGUGGUAUUUUACUUAUACUGAAAUGUGAUUUUAAUUGUAUGUUAAUAAAUAAAGUUGCCUGGGGGUCAGAGCUAUUAGAGCCAUAGCAAGAGUGUGGCGGUGGUGGCGCACGCCUUUAAUCCCAGCACUUGGUAGACAGAGCUAGGUAGAUCUCUGUGUGUAAAAAGAUACAGCCAGUAUUGGAGACACACGCCUUUAAUCUCAAUCCCAACCAUAGAAGACCUGGAAGUCUUUACAGACAGGCAGUGAUGAGGCAUGGGUUUACAACCAAUGAGAAGGCAGAAUCGAAAGUCUUUAUAAAGACAAACACACAGGAAGUAGCUCCUUUUCAGAGAGCUCUCUUGGCUGAAGAGGAUGGCUGAAGCAGGAAGGGUGAGGCUCUUAGCUCUGACCUCUUGGCUUUCUUCUCUGAA
This is a long non-coding RNA of Peromyscus californicus insignis, 2291 nucleotides long. RefSeq lists it as uncharacterized. Lineage: Eukaryota; Metazoa; Chordata; Mammalia; Rodentia; Cricetidae. The transcript has 2 exons. The record is from RefSeq and is a predicted model, not a curated record.